This 68-nucleotide ribosomal RNA is filed under the name uncultured bacterium. RNAcentral's name for it is "partial 16S ribosomal RNA". The record is from RNAcentral.
UGGGCUCGAACGGCUUGUUAUCACCCUAGAAACAGGGUUUCCAUGCAGCUUGCUGUAUGGCGGAAGUC